Molecule: ribosomal RNA, 480 nt
Filed under: uncultured bacterium
Lineage: Bacteria
Description: partial 16S ribosomal RNA
Rfam family: Bacterial small subunit ribosomal RNA
Source: RNAcentral
AAUCAACGCUGGCGGCGUGCCUAACACAUGCAAGUCGAACGAGAAAGUGGGAGCAAUCCUGCGAGUAAAGUGGCAGACGGGUGAGUAACACGUGAACAACCUACCCUCGAGUGGGGAAUAACCCCGCGAAAGCGGGGCUAAUACCGCAUAACAUCCUUGGAUCGCAUGAUUUGAGGAUCAAGAGCGCAAGUUGCUUGAGGAGGGGUUCGCGCCUGAUUAGCUAGUUGGUGAGGUAACGGCCCACCAAGGCAACGAUCAGUAGCCGGCCUGAGAGGGCGAACGGCCACACUGGAACUGAGACACGGUCCAGACUCCUACGGGAGGCAGCAGUGGGGAAUUUUGCGCAAUGGGCGAAAGCCUGACGCAGCAACGCCGCGUGGAGGAUGAAGGUCUUCGGAUCGUAAACUCCUGUCAGGGGGGAAGAAGGCCGGGCAACCGGUUUGACUGUACCCCUUGAGGAAGCCACGGCUAACUCCGUGC